RNAcentral lists this unclassified non-coding RNA (21 nucleotides) under Chlamydomonas reinhardtii. RNAcentral's name for it is "small RNA Cre_2902". The record is from RNAcentral. Lineage: Eukaryota; Viridiplantae; Chlorophyta; Chlorophyceae; Chlamydomonadales; Chlamydomonadaceae.
UGAGAGGAUGGGCGGCUGGUG